Non-coding RNA from Paramuricea clavata, 417 nucleotides. Lineage: Eukaryota; Metazoa; Cnidaria; Anthozoa; Malacalcyonacea; Plexauridae. The record is from the annotation of a GenBank genome assembly.
GCUUUUUAUUUUUGGAACUGAUACUUUUUGGCGGGUAAAUUACUUCACAAACCUGGCGCCAAAUUAAAAGUUAAAAAUAUUAAAGCUAUAGGUGAUUUCAUGUAUCCAUUUAGAAGAGCAGACUAAGCUGAAUAUCUUAAAACUGAAAUCGGUUUCGAAAUACAACCAUCAGGGACGUAGCGAAGCAUCUGAAGUUUGGGGAGGGGGGAAGUCGGAGGAUUUUACAAUAAACAGUUAUAAUAAAGCUUUUUGUGAUUGAUUGGCACUCUCAUAUUAAGUUUUGGGAGAAAAGGGGGGUCUGGGGGUUCUCCCCCAGAAAAUUUUUACAUUUUUAAAGCUCUGACUAGGACUGAAUUUCUGGCGUUUUCUAAAGCAAAUUCGCAUUGCAUGUAAAUUGACUGUAUUUUACAAAAAUGG